RNAcentral lists this ribosomal RNA (726 nucleotides) under Streptomyces sp. CACIA-1.49HGO. RNAcentral's name for it is "bacterial SSU rRNA". It matches the Rfam family "Bacterial small subunit ribosomal RNA", at positions 623 to 1334 of the family's 1533-position model. Lineage: Bacteria; Bacillati; Actinomycetota; Actinomycetes; Kitasatosporales; Streptomycetaceae. The record is from RNAcentral.
GCAGUCGAUACGGGCAGGCUAGAGUGUGGUAGGGGAGAUCGGAAUUCCUGGUGUAGCGGUGAAAUGCGCAGAUAUCAGGAGGAACACCGGUGGCGAAGGCGGAUCUCUGGGCCAUUACUGACCGCUGAGGAGCGAAAGGGUGGGGAGCGAACAGGAUUAGAUACCCUGGUAGUCCACGCCCGUAAACGGUGGGAACUAGGGUGUUGGGUGACAUUCCACGGUCGUGGAGUGCCGCAGCUAACGCAUUAAGUUCCCCGCCUGGGGAGUACGGCCGCAAGGCUAAAACCUCAAAGGAAUUGACGGGGGCCCGCACAAGCAGCGGAGCAUGUGGCUUAAUUCGACGCAACGCGAAGAACCUUACCAAGACUUGACAUAUACCGGAAAGCAUCAGAGAUGAUGCCCCCCUUGUGGUCGGUAUACAGGUGGUGCAUGGCUGUCGUCAGCUCGUGUCGUGAGAUGUUGGGUUAAGUCCCGCAACGAGCGCAACCCUUGUUCUGUGUUGCCAGCAUGCCCUUCGGGGUGAUGGGGAGUCACAGGAGACUGCCGGGGUCAACUCGGAGGAAGGUGGGGAGGAAGUCAAGUCAUCAUGCCCCUUAUGUCUUGGGCUGCACACGUGCUACAAUGGCAGGUACAAUGAGAUGGGAGGCCGUAAGGGGGGGCGAAUCUCAAAAAGCCUGUCUCAGUUCGGAUUGGGGUUUGCAACUCGACCCCAUGAAGUCGGAGUUG